Molecule: transfer RNA, 71 nt
Filed under: Loxodonta africana (African savanna elephant)
Lineage: Eukaryota; Metazoa; Chordata; Mammalia; Proboscidea; Elephantidae
Rfam family: tRNA
About the family: Transfer RNA (tRNA) molecules are approximately 80 nucleotides in length.
Source: Rfam by way of RNAcentral
ACAGUGGGUGUUCAGUGGUGGAAUUCCAGCCUCUCAUGCCGGAAUCCCGGGUUUGAUUCCCGGCCAGUGCA